CAAGUACUCCGGCGUUGUCCUUGUUCUUGUGGAUCGUCUCAACUGCGGUUCCUCUUGCGUCUCAUCUUCGUCAUCAGAGAUCUCCACAACAUCAUUAUCAAUGAUCUCAUCACUGUUAUCUACCUUCUUGCUAGUCUGUUCAGUUAUGACAGCACUGUUAUCUUCCUUAGGACUCACGUGAAACUCGACUUCUCUGAGUCCUCUGUUUCCAAAUUCUCCGAGGUUGAUACUAAGUGAACUCUGGUCCCG
RNAcentral lists this long non-coding RNA (249 nucleotides) under Brassica napus (rape). RNAcentral's name for it is "long non-coding RNA (BNAP_LNC014288)". The record is from RNAcentral. Lineage: Eukaryota; Viridiplantae; Streptophyta; Magnoliopsida; Brassicales; Brassicaceae.